This is a non-coding RNA of Cinara cedri, 214 nucleotides long. NCBI's taxonomy places the organism in Eukaryota, Metazoa, Arthropoda, Insecta, Hemiptera, Aphididae. The record is from the annotation of a GenBank genome assembly.
UAUAUACCGUCCACGGGAUAUCAGAUAUCUAAAUCCACCCCUGUCAAGCCUUGAAGGUGGACGUUGAAGACUAGUAGCAACUAUUAUUAAAAGCUCUUCAACGGUUGAGGAUGGCAUUCUUGUCAAAUUAAAAAACAAGUGUGAAAGCUGAUGUUUUUUUAACAUUGUGUUGAAAUCACCAAGAUUUUAACGUACAUAAAGCAUUGUAUGUACG